Molecule: RNA transcript, 2357 nt
Organism: Daucus carota subsp. sativus
Lineage: Eukaryota; Viridiplantae; Streptophyta; Magnoliopsida; Apiales; Apiaceae
Gene name: transcription factor GTE7-like
Exons: 4
Source: RefSeq, a predicted model, not a curated record
CCUUCUACUCCUCGCUCACAACCCAAGCCCAAGACCCAGCCCCCUUCCCCCUUACUUGUGUACAUAAAAACUCACUUGAGCAUACGGCGUCGUUCUGUCUGCAUAUAUAUUUUCGCCGGAGAUAUAGCUCAGAGAUGAAGUCUGGCCGGAGCGAAUCAAGCUGGGGAAAAUCAUCACUCGGUAAAUUUAUGGGAAGAAAACUUAACUAUUUGGCCCCUAAUUCUACAAACCCUAACCCUAAUUCAAAGCAAUUGAAGCAGAAAAGGAAGCAAUUUGAGUUAGACGUGCCUUUAAUUGAACGAGCUUCGGGGUGUUCGAAGAGUGGAUUGAAAGAGUUGAAGAGGACGCUGGAGACGGAGCUUCAGAAAGUUCGCAGCUUGAUUGAUCGAAUUGAAUCCGGAGCAUUUUCGGGAAAUGAAGCGAAUUUGUCGGGCCAGAAGAGGUCGGUGCCAGUGGUUGCGAAGGGGAAUGGUGGUGAUUUUGAUGAUUUGAUGAAGAUGUGUAGGGAAAUUUUGACGAAAUUGAUGAGGAAUAAGAGUAGUUGGGUUUUUAAUAAGCCGGUUGAUGCUAGUGGUUUGGGUUUAUAUGAUUAUCAUCAUAUUGUUAAGAAGCCGAUGGAUUUGGGGACGGUGAAAGCGUAUUUGGCUAAGAAUUUGUAUUCGUCACCUAGUCAAUUUGCUUCGGAUGUGAGGUUGACCUUUAAUAAUGCUAUGUUGUAUAAUCCGAAGACGGAUCAAGUUCAUUCCAUGGCUGCUCAGCUUUUGUCACAGUUUGAGGAUAUGUUUAGACCGGUUCAAGAGAAAUUGGAUAGUAGAGUUGAGAAAGAUGUGGUUCGUAGUGGGGAUGAUGAUUGCCGUGGAAGUUCUUGGAAUGAGAUUACUAGUUCAGAGAGACGCAAGAAGCCGAAGACUAAUUUAGUUAGUUCGAUUCCUCCGGUGAAGCCUGAGGUGAUUCCUGAGCCUUUGGUUCAGUCUAGUGUUUCUAAUCAGGCCAAUUUGGAUACUCGGUCAAUGCAGUUACCUCCUCAAACAAAGCAGUUACCCGUGUUGACUCCAUCUCCGGCGCGUUCGCAACCUGUGAAGUCAACUGGGUCAGUAAAAGCUGCCCCUACAACAAAGCAGCCUAAGCCAAAAGCAAAGGACCCUAAUAAGAGAGCUAUGACAAUGGAGGAGAAGCAGAAGUUGGGAGUUGGGUUGGAAAAUUUGCCUCAAGAGAAAAUGCCACAAUUGGUGCAAAUUAUACGGAAAAGAAAUGAACGUUUGGCACAGGCAGGUGAUGAAAUCGAGCUCGAUAUGGAGGCCCUCGAUACAGAAACUCUUUGGGAGCUUGAUAGAUUCGUGACAAAUUGGAAGAAGCUUGAAAGUAAGACGAAGCGACAAGCCCUUAUGGAGAACUUAUCAACAGCUCCCAUGGUUACAGCUGAUACUGAUGAGGCACUUGCUAGUGAUGUAAAUGAUGGAGCAAAAAAUAUUAAGAAAGGAGAUGGCGAUGGGGAUGUGGACAUUGGUGAUGAGAUGCGGGAAAGCAGUUCCCCCCAUGAGAAAAUCGAGAAAGAUGGUGGUGGGAAUGUUCAUGAAGAUGGAAACGUGAAUGGGAAUGAUAAUGCCAGUAGUAGCUCAAGUAGUUCAGGCAGUUCCAGCAGUGAUUCUUCUUCUGGUGAUUCAGAUUCCGGGAACCAUUCAGCAAGUGACUCUGAUGCAGAGAAUGAAGUGCAGUCAUGAAUAAAAUCUGGCUGAAGCCACUAAGGCAUGGUAUGGAAACUUUCCUCUCUAUAUGUUGGGCUGGCAUCAUGUGGUAACUACCAUCCUCAUAGUGAUGACAAUAGUGGUAUAUGUGGGUGUCGAGGAUAUGUGGGUUACCCAAUGGAUUCCUGUGUCAGAGACACUCGAAUCCCAUAUGAAUCCCCGUGUCAGAUUCGUGGACACUCUGAUGUGAGGAUACUUGUACAAUGCCAAAUGAUAUUGUUUCAACAACAAAUUGUACUUCAAAUUAGUGUCAAGUAAUUGUUUACAAAAAGAUGCCAUAUGAUCCCGCAUCCGAAUCUUCCAUAUUAUCGUUUGUGUUGAAUCUGUGGAUACUACUGCAGUCCUGCAUCCGUAGCCUUGCUUCUUUGCUGUCGAGUGAGCUAAAUUUUGAAGUGUCAUUUGCAGAACACUUGCAGAAGUGUUGAGUUUGUUGUAGCAUUGGUAAUUUAUUUCAAUGUCAAAUGAACCCGUACUUGAGGCCAAGAUGAAGAAUCAAAGGAAACACAUCAUCCAGUGCCAAGAGACUGGGCAUGGAUAAGUUAUUGGUUUGAUGCUUUGGUUGUAUGAUUUCUCGUGUACUGAUUACAAACAAUUUUAAAUAAUUUUUGAGCA